GAUCCCCAUAGCCUUGCUAGAAAUCCCAAUAUCAGGAUGCACCUGUUUUAGCACCUUAAAGAUGUAGAUCUUGUAGGUCUCAACACUCUUCUUGGCCUUCUUCUUCUUCUUCUCGCUGGAAGCGGCAUCCUUUGGUAGCUUCUUCCCGGCCUUUGGCUUCUUCUCCGCCGGAGCCUUCUCGGCGACGGUGGACUUCUUCUCCUCCGCCGGCUUCUUUUCAGCUGGCUUCUUCUCUGCCUUUGGUGCCAUUGGAAUUGAAAGAGAAAAUAUAAAAGGAGAAACUAAAAGCGGCUGUUCAAG
RNAcentral lists this unclassified non-coding RNA (300 nucleotides) under Hevea brasiliensis (rubber tree). The record is from RNAcentral. Lineage: Eukaryota; Viridiplantae; Streptophyta; Magnoliopsida; Malpighiales; Euphorbiaceae.